UACAGAGGGGGCAAGCGUUGUUCGGAAUUACUGGGCGUAAAGGGCGCGUAGGCGGCCCGCUAAGUCGAACGUGAAAUCCCCGAGCUCAACUCGGGAACUGCGUCCGAUACUGGCGGGCUUGAAUCCGGGAGAGGGAUGCGGAAUUCCAGGUGUAGCGGUGAAAUGCGUAGAUAUCCGGAGGAACACCGGUGGCGAAGGCGGCUUCCUGGACCGACACUGACGCUGAGGCGCGAAAGCUAGGGGAGCAAACGGG
This 253-nucleotide ribosomal RNA is filed under the name uncultured bacterium. RNAcentral describes it as "partial 16S ribosomal RNA". It matches the Rfam family "Bacterial small subunit ribosomal RNA", at positions 524 to 776 of the family's 1533-position model. The record is from RNAcentral.